CCCUUAGAUGUUCUGGGCCGCACGCGCGCCACACUGAUGCAUUCAACGAGUGUACCUUGGCCGAGAGGCCUGGGCAAUCUUUUGAACGUGCAUCGUGAUAGGGAUAGAUUAUUGCAAUUAUUAAUCUUGAACGAGGAAUUCCUAGUAAACGCAGUUCAUCAAACUGCAUUGAUUACGUCCCUGCCCUUUGUACACACCGCCCGUCGCACCUACCGAUUGGAUGGUCCGGUGAAGCCUCGGGAUUGUGGCGGUUGCCUUUAUUGGUGGCCGCCGCGAGAACUUGUCUAAACCUUAUCAUCUAGAGGAAGGUGAAGUCGUAACA
RNAcentral lists this ribosomal RNA (322 nucleotides) under uncultured eukaryote. RNAcentral's name for it is "partial 18S ribosomal RNA". It matches the Rfam family "Eukaryotic small subunit ribosomal RNA", at positions 1470 to 1796 of the family's 1831-position model. The record is from RNAcentral.